GCCGGGCAUAGUGGCGCAUACCUGUAAUCCCAGCAGUUUAGGAGGCUGAGGCAGGAACAUCAAGAGUUCAAAGCCAGCCUCAGCAAUUUAGUGAGGCUCUAAGCAACUCAGUGAGACCCUGUCUCUA
Molecule: small RNA, 127 nt
Filed under: Marmota monax (woodchuck)
Lineage: Eukaryota; Metazoa; Chordata; Mammalia; Rodentia; Sciuridae
Source: RNAcentral